This 515-nucleotide ribosomal RNA is filed under the name uncultured bacterium. RNAcentral describes it as "partial 16S ribosomal RNA". It matches the Rfam family "Bacterial small subunit ribosomal RNA", at positions 28 to 523 of the family's 1533-position model. The record is from RNAcentral.
GAUGAACGCUGGCGGCGUGCCUAAUACAUGCAAGUCGAGCGAAUGGAUUAAGAGCUUGCUCUUAUGAAGUUAGCGGCGGACGGGUGAGUAACACGUGGGUAACCUGCCCAUAAGACUGGGAUAACUCCGGGAAACCGGGGCUAAUACCGGAUAACAUUUUGAACCGCAUGGUUCGAAAUUGAAAGGCGGCUUCGGCUGUCACUUAUGGAUGGACCCGCGUCGCAUUAGCUAGUUGGUGAGGUAACGGCUCACCAAGGCAACGAUGCGUAGCCGACCUGAGAGGGUGAUCGGCCACAACGGGACGGGGACACGGCCCAGACUCCUACGGGAGGCAGCAGUAGGGAAUCUUCCGCAAUGGACGAAAGUCUGACGGAGCAACGCCGCGUGAGUGAUGAAGGCUCUCGGGUCGUAAAACUCUGUUGUUAGGGAAGAACAAGUGCUAGUUGAAUAAGCUGGCACCUUGACGGUACCUAACCAGAAAGCCACGGCUAACUACGUGCCAGCCGCCGCGUAUA